GAUGAACGCUGGCGGCGUGCCUAAUACAUGCAAGUCGAGCGAACAGACGAGGAGCUUGCUCCUCUGACGUUAGCGGCGGACGGGUGAGUAACACGUGGAUAACCUACCUAUAAGACUGGGAUAACUUCGGGAAACCGGAGCUAAUACCGGAUAAUAUAUUGAACCGCAUGGUUCAAUAGUGAAAGACGGUUUUGCUGUCACUUAUAGAUGGAUCCGCGCCGCAUUAGCUAGUUGGUAAGGUAACGGCUUACCAAGGCAACGAUGCGUAGCCGACCUGAGAGGGUGAUCGGCCACACUGCAGCUGAGACACGGUCCAGACUCCUACGGGAGGCAGCAGUAGGGAAUCUUCCGCAAUGGGCGAAAGCCUGACGGAGCAACGCCGCGUGAGUGAUGAAGGUCUUCGGAUCGUAAAACUCUGUUAUUAGGGAAGAACAAAUGUGUAAGUAACUAUGCACGUCUUGACGGUACCUAAUCAGAAAGCCACGGCUAACUACGUG
RNAcentral lists this ribosomal RNA (497 nucleotides) under uncultured bacterium. RNAcentral describes it as "partial 16S ribosomal RNA". It matches the Rfam family "Bacterial small subunit ribosomal RNA", at positions 28 to 507 of the family's 1533-position model. The record is from RNAcentral.